CCCAGGUCUCCAGGAUCACACCCUGGGCUGCAGACGGCGCUAAACCACUGCGCCCCCGAGGCUGCCCUCUCUGUGUCUCUCAUUAAUAAAUAAAUAAAUAAAUCUUUUUAAAGUAAUGUAUGAAAAAUAAAGGAGGGAAUCUUGGAAAUACCAGAAAAAUGCAAAAAAGAAUAUGACGAUCACCUGUGGUCUAACUCUCCGAAAAUAACUAGUGUUAAUGCUUUAGUGUAUUUCUUUAUUGGCCUUUUGUUCCUUAUUUGUUUUUUUACAAACAGUAGAAUCUUUUUUUAAAAUAUUUUAUUUAUUUAUUCAUGAGAGACACAGAGAGAGGCAGAGACACAGGCAGAGGGAGAAGAAGGCUCCUUGCAGGGAGCCCAAUGCAGGACUCGAUCCCGGGACCCCAGGGUUACUCCCUGGGCUGAAGGCAGGUGCUAAACCAGUGAGGCACCCGGGGAUCCCCAUAGAAUCUUUUUAAAUAUUUGGGAUCACCCUGAAUCUAUCUCAUGGGAUAAGAAGAUCCCAGACUUUUUAUGUGGGGAUGCUAAAAACUGGUUCAUCUGAAUGAAUCAGGCCUGGAUACAGUAUAAACUUUGUUCUUGCCUUUUAUUUUAUUUUAUUUUAUUUUUUUGUUCUUGCCUUUUAAAGAUAAUUUUGGAUUCAUGGCAUUCAGACUCAGGUAGUUUUAAUUAGUUAUAAUCAUUAUUGAUGAAGGAUCCCUCUGUGCGGGCUCCUGUGUGGGCCUUCACCAUCCCCCAGGACGUGGAGAAGCACCCCUGCCUCCUCGCAAUGACGGUCCACGCCCGCAGUGCGCCCUCCUGGCCUCAAGAUGCAAAAGCGACUAUUCUCCAGAGAGCCCACGUUCCCUGGGGCAGGGAGGAGCAUCCGUGACUGUGGAUACUGGGGACACCUCUUCAGUUCCUGUGCACUGAUAUUUGGUGCAAAACUGCUUAACGGCUACUUAAGUGAUCAGUUGGACAUGAUCGAUUCUGAAGAGUUUUCUGAAGAUCCUGAUUGUAACUCGUGUAACUUCAUAUUCGUCUUAC
This 1043-nucleotide long non-coding RNA is filed under the name Vulpes vulpes (red fox). Its description in RNAcentral is "lncRNA (ENSVVUG00000002439.1)". Lineage: Eukaryota; Metazoa; Chordata; Mammalia; Carnivora; Canidae. The record is from RNAcentral.